Molecule: long non-coding RNA, 422 nt
Filed under: Elaeis guineensis (African oil palm)
Lineage: Eukaryota; Viridiplantae; Streptophyta; Magnoliopsida; Arecales; Arecaceae
Description: long non-coding RNA (EGUI_LNC032878)
Source: RNAcentral
AGCCUAAUUAAGUUAGGUUUAACUUAGUCUAAUUGUGCCUAACCUAUUUUGAUUAGGUUGGCUCAAUUAGGUUGAAACCACCUUUUGAAUUCUCUCCCUGCGCCACCUCACUCAUCUGCGCCCAUUUGAAUUCACGAGAAACAACUUCUCAUGAAGUUUCUCCCACGAAGAAGCCUUCCAUGCCCCUCCAUUUGUGCGCCAUUUGGGUGGAUAAAGAUGGUUGGUUGGCCAUUCAAAUUCAAAUGAAGUUUGAAUUUGAAUGGGCAACUAAUCCAUGCGCCACCUAGCCUUAUCCAUUUGUGCGCCAUUUGCUUUACACGAGAAAGAGUUUCUCAUGUAAACUCUCCAUGCACAAGGGAGCCCAUGCCCUUCUCUUCUCAUGCCAAGAGUGGAUAAGGAUGGGUUGGUUAGCAUUUGAAUUC